RNAcentral lists this long non-coding RNA (564 nucleotides) under Elaeis guineensis (African oil palm). Its description in RNAcentral is "long non-coding RNA (EGUI_LNC014168)". Lineage: Eukaryota; Viridiplantae; Streptophyta; Magnoliopsida; Arecales; Arecaceae. The record is from RNAcentral.
GGGUUGAUCCUAUAAAAAAGAAUGGAACUCCUUUAGCUUUGGAAGAAUGACAAUUGGAACAUGCACAGCCGCCAUGUAGUAAAUUAGGAUAAAAGCUAAGAUCGACUGAAAAAGGGUCACACUUCCUGCAAAGGCUAAUGGUUUCCACUUCCAAUGGUCAAUAUUGGAGUUUACCUUUUCAAUCAAAAUUCUAAACUCCCUUGGCUGUAAUGGCAUGCCAGAAAUAAGCACACCCAGGUAAUUCCAAGAACCCUUUUUCUCUCUGACUUGAAACAAAUUAUGGAUAAUAUGUUUAAUAGAUGUAGGAGUAGCUGAGUUGAAUAUGACAUGAGAUCUACUAUAAUUAACUAUUUAGCCCGACAAAGAGCAAUAAGAAUCGAUAAUAGCAUGAAUGCAGAUAGCAUGCCAAAUCUUAGCUGUUGAAACAAGAAUGUAAUCAUCAGCAAAGAGGAUAUAGGAUAUUGAUGGGCCACCACUUGAUCUAUAAGCUUUCAGCAUUUGAUUUUGGACAGCAUAUUGCAAGAUUCUAGAGAAAAUCUGAGAACAUAAGAUAAAAAGGUAGGG